UACGAAGGGGGGCUAGCGUUGCUCGGAAUCACUGGGCGUAAAGGGUGCGUAGGCGGGUCUUUAAGUCAGGGGUGAAAUCCUGGAGCUCAACUCCAGAACUGCCUUUGAUACUGAAGAUCUUGAGUUCGGGAGAGGUGAGUGGAACUGCGAGUGUAGAGGUGAAAUUCGUAGAUAUUCGCAAGAACACCAGUGGCGAAGGCGGCUCACUGGCCCGAUACUGACGCUGAG
RNAcentral lists this ribosomal RNA (228 nucleotides) under uncultured bacterium. Its description in RNAcentral is "partial 16S ribosomal RNA". It matches the Rfam family "Bacterial small subunit ribosomal RNA", at positions 524 to 750 of the family's 1533-position model. The record is from RNAcentral.